This 439-nucleotide ribosomal RNA is filed under the name uncultured bacterium. RNAcentral describes it as "partial 16S ribosomal RNA". It matches the Rfam family "Bacterial small subunit ribosomal RNA", at positions 339 to 795 of the family's 1533-position model. The record is from RNAcentral.
CUACGGGCGGCUCCAGUGGGGAAUAUUGCACAAUGGAGGAAACUCUGAUGCAGCAACGCCGCGUGGAGGAUGACACUUUUCGGAGCGUAAACCCCUUUUAUAUAGGAAGAAGAUGACGGUACUAUAUGAAUAAGCGCCGGCUAACUCCGUGCCAGCAGCCGCGGUAAUACGGAGGGCGCAAGCGUUACUCGGAAUCACUGGGCGUAAAGAGCGUGUAGGCGGAUUAAAAAGUCAGAAGUGAAAUCCUAUAGCUUAACUAUAGAACUGCUUCUGAAACUCUUAAUCUAGAAUAUGGGAGAGGUAGAUGGAAUUUCUGGUGUAGGGGUAAUAUCCGUAGAGAUCAGAAGGAAUACCGAUUGCGAAGGCGAUCUACUAGAACAUUAUUGACGCUGAGACGCGAAAGCGUGGGGAGCAAACAGGAUUAGAUACCCGAGUAGUC